Molecule: ribosomal RNA, 301 nt
Filed under: uncultured bacterium
Lineage: Bacteria
Description: partial 16S ribosomal RNA
Rfam family: Bacterial small subunit ribosomal RNA
Source: RNAcentral
CAGUCGCCGCGGGAAAACGAACCGUGCAAACGUUACUCGGAAUCACUGGGCUUAAAGCGCACGUAGGCGGCGACAUAAGUUAGAGGUGAAAUCCCAUCGGCUCAACCGUGGAACUGCCUCUAAUACUGUGUUGCUUGAGGGAGAACGGGGCAUUCGGAACUUCCGGUGGAGCGGUGAAAUGUGUUGAUAUCGGAAGGAACGCCGGUGGCGAAAGCGGGAUGCUGGGUCUCUUCUGACGCUGAGGUGCGAAAGCUAGGGUAGCGAACGGGAUUAGAGACCCCCGUAGUCCCUGUCUCUUAUA